This is a long non-coding RNA of Helianthus annuus (common sunflower), 443 nucleotides long. RefSeq lists it as uncharacterized. Lineage: Eukaryota; Viridiplantae; Streptophyta; Magnoliopsida; Asterales; Asteraceae. The transcript is spliced from 2 exons. The record is from RefSeq and is a predicted model, not a curated record.
AAAAACUGCCUACGAGCUCUCUCUCCCCCUGCCCCAUUCUGUUUGCUCAAAUCAGGAGCUUCAAGGCUGCAGGCAAUCAGUUUCUUGGCUAGAUCGAAUCGUUUGUGUAACUUGUGUAAGUAAUAGAUAUGGGGGCUUACGGAAUUGUCAAGAGAGAAUGAUAGAAACUGAUCACCCCAAAUCGAAGGCGGAAAGUUUGCCAGAUGACGCACCGGCUCUAUGGUGGUUUGUGAGUUAGCUUGCGCCAUAGUGUUAGCUUCAGUUGUUGCCAUUUGUGGAAUGGGAGUUGGUGCAACGAACGCGGCUUAUAUUUUUAAUCAACUAUAUUAUUGCAUAUAUAACAUUAUUUUGGGAAUCAUUACUAUAUGGGUGUGCGUUUGAAGUCAGAAUGUGAAUGCUAAAAAUUAAUUAUCAUCGAGCGUGAUGUGAAUGCUAAAAAUUAA